This 472-nucleotide ribosomal RNA is filed under the name uncultured bacterium. Its description in RNAcentral is "bacterial SSU rRNA". It matches the Rfam family "Bacterial small subunit ribosomal RNA", at positions 355 to 825 of the family's 1533-position model. The record is from RNAcentral.
UGGGGAAUAUUGGACAAUGGGCGCAAGCCUGAUCCAGCGACGCCGCGUGUGUGAAGAAGGCCUGCGGGUUGUAAAGCACUUUCGAUGGGAACGAAAUGUGCCGGGUUAAUACCCCGGUAAGCUGACGUUACUCAAUGAAGAAGCACCGGCUAACUCUGUGCCAGCAGCCGCGGUAAUACAGAGGGUGCGAGCGUUAAUCGGAAUUACUGGGCGUAAAGCGCACGUAGGUGGCGACGUAAGUCGGGUGUGAAAGCCCCGGGCUCAACCUGGGAAUUGCAUUCGAGACUGCAUUGCUGGAGUACGGAAGAGGAGGGCGGAAUUCCCGGUGUAGCGGCGGAAUGCGUAGAGAUCGGGAGGAACAUCGGUGGCGAAGGCGGCCAGCUGGGCCGUUGCUGACGCUGAGGCGCGAAAGCGUGGGGAGCGAACAGGAUUAGAUACCCUUGUAGUCCCUGAGCGGGCUGGCAAGGCGCAU